AUUGAACGCUGGCGGCAGGCCUAACACAUGCAAGUCGAACGGAGUGGCGGACGGGUGAGUAAAACCUAGGAAUCUGCCUGGUAGUGGGGGAUAACGUCCGGGAACGGGCGCUAAUACCGCAUACUCUAAGAUGAGCCUAGUGCGGGUUAGCUAGUUGGUGGGGUAAAGGCCUACCAAGGCGACGAUCCGUAACUGGUCUUGGAGGAUGAUCAGCCACACUGGAACUGAGACACGGUCCAGACUCCGACGGUAGGCAGCAGUGGGGAAUAUUGGACAAUGGGCGAAAGCCUGAUCCAGCCAUGCCGCGUGUGUGAAGAAGGUCUUCGGAUUGUAAAGCACUUUAAGUUGGGAGGCGUUACCAACAGAAUAAGCACCGGCUAACUUCGUGCCAGCAGCCGCGGUAAUUC
This 407-nucleotide ribosomal RNA is filed under the name uncultured bacterium. Its description in RNAcentral is "partial 16S ribosomal RNA". It matches the Rfam family "Bacterial small subunit ribosomal RNA", at positions 30 to 526 of the family's 1533-position model. The record is from RNAcentral.